AUGACUGAUCAGAAAGGUAAAAAUUUUGAUUGUACAUUACUUAAGUCUACAAUUUCACUGUUUCCUAGGAAGUUCUAUUUCUCAGCUGAAUGGAACUGUACACAGAUACAAGAAACCGAGCAACUCUACAGCACUGUAGAUUUGCUUAGAACAUAUCCUCAUCUUCUGAACGCAGUAUAUUCUAGAGCACGUCAGCAACCUUUUCCUGUAAAGAUCCAGAUCACUGACCUCACAUGCUUCCUGAAGCCACCUGUUACCACCUGGAGUCACAAGACUGUGAGGAGUUGCACUUUGACAUCGCAGCCUCGCCCUAUGACAGGCUUCAAGUGCACAUUUGUGCUGACCUGCGACAUCCGGCAGCUGAGUGCCAUCUGCUCCCACACCAGCGCCAUGUCCACCUUACAGACGGAGCAGAUGGAUGAACCACAGCCCCGUGGGGUCUGACGUGGAGCAGCUGGCAUAACAGAAUGGCUUCGUGAUUGGUGCCUUCCCUGACAUUCAAAGGGAGCAUCCUGAGUGCUGCAGGACUCUACUUUCUGUCUCUUUUGGAAUUGUGUUGGGGACAAUUAUCAGAGGUAACACUCCUGGUUGGGAGGUCAGGAAGGAUUAGCAUGGUUAGUGUUCUCUCAUGAAAAUCACCAACAUACACAUGGAGCCAUGGUAGUUCACUGAGCACAAGGCAGUCUCACAGGACGGAGACCAGUGUCGUGGUCUUGUUGUAUAAAUCUCAGUAUGUUUUGCCCCUGCUUCCUCUCACCCUCCAUCCACAUCACAUUACUCUUCCUUUUAAUUCUUUAAUUUCCUCUGCCUGGAACACACUUUUCCUUUUUUAAAUCUAGCUAAUCCCAAUCCAGCGCAACUGACUUCUCCUCACAGAAGGAGUCUCUGGUCUUGCAAGCUGGGCCAGAUCUAGAUCACACAGUUUCACAGCACCUGCAUUUUUGUUUUAGCACUUUUUCACAGUUUGAAAUUUGAGAUUUUUAAAUUUUUUUUUUCAGGCAUAGAAUUUACCUGCUACUCUUAUGCUUCUCAAGGCUACAUGGUGCUCAAUAAAUAUCUGUAGAGAGAAGAAAGGAAGGAAGGAAGGAAGGGAAGGAAGGAAGGGAGGGAGGGAGGGACUGAGUAUGGAAAAUCAAAAGGAGACGGAGAAAAGUAAGGCAGCAAGGAAAAACAAACACAGCACGAAGAGGCAAGGUUUAAGAAUGUAGCGCAUGCUUCGGUCUUACCAGAUUUAGGCUGGUUAUAGAGGACACAUCACAACCCAGCUCCUGUAACUACGGAAAGGCUGCCAUCUUCCUGGAGCUGGCCUACGUUUUCCCAUUCAAGCCACCACUAGAGAACCAAUGACCUCUAGCACAGCACUCAGGGACAAUUAUUCAAUACUAGAAAUAGAAUUUUGUCCUGUGAAAACUUCUGGGACUGCAUCUAGUUAUUUUAUAGAAAUAUACACAUUUCAAAUGGAGACAAUAAAAUUUUAAGAUCAAAUAUUUUUAAAAGUCACAGUGCCAUAUCAAGUCUUCUUUGAAUUUUUAAACUCCCUUUGAGGUCUACACCAGUAAUUCCUAAUGAAGGACCAGGGACCCCUUGCAAAUUGCGCAGUUAUUGCUAAGGGAUGAAAAUGCACACACACAGUAAAUACUGCCCGC
Long non-coding RNA from Chinchilla lanigera (long-tailed chinchilla), 1646 nucleotides. The record is from Ensembl. NCBI's taxonomy places the organism in Eukaryota, Metazoa, Chordata, Mammalia, Rodentia, Chinchillidae.